UUACAGUUGUGUCUGCAGAUUGUCUUUCCAGACGGUCUCACUCUCUAACUAAAUGGAACUUUCAUUUCCUGGUCUGUAAAUGAGCCUCUCCCUCUGCUUUUGUUUGAUAUUUAUUUAUUCGGUUUAUGUGACAGGGACGAUGCACAUUAAUCAACAUCUCAGCUUUCACAUCACUGUAAACGUGUCAGACCCUCACUCCCUCUCUCUCUCUCCCUGUCUCUCUCUCUGCUCCCUCCUCCCUUCCUCACGCUGUAGUAGCCUCAGCGUAACUCCAAUCAGCAAAUCAGCAGCGUAACUCUAAUGAGCGAAAUUGCUUAUGAGGGGAAUCUGUUUCCGAUGGUGGGGCAGAUGAUUAAUGCGCACUGACAACAUGUCUUUCCUCGAGGAGCUUUGCCGGGCUAUGGCAGCUGUGUGAUGCCACCUCCUCAAAGAUGCCCCCUCUCCCUCUGAGAUGCUGACAUCCCACAGGGAGAGGGAGAAACUGGAGGGAACUGGGGAAGGGUUCACCACAACUCUAUAGUGAACAUGAUCAUGGUGCUAGAAUUACAUCCUUACUGCACAUUUCCUUAAACUGUACCAUAUAGUAUAAUGUUAACACUGUUAUGAGACAGAACUAAGCUACUUGACAAUUUUGUGCUAGUUUGCUGCAACACAAAUGACACAAAAAGGUGUGACAUUAACUACAACAUACAAGCCCAAUCACUGAGCCUGAUCUUGUGUUAUGCAUGCAGCUAACAGCUAAAAGUUAAAGACACAGUGUGACUAAUUUACGGCAGAAAUGUGCAUGUGUGGUUGACAAAACAAUCAAACAUUAGCCAGUCUGAUUAUUGAUUUUGUAAGCCUCAAAUACAGGUCACGCUCAUAUGUAUGUGCUGUUCAAAACUAGACAUUAAAAGUAAGUGUAAUUAUGGACUAAUUUGACCUGUUUCGGACUUAUGUUCAUAUUCUUAUUUUAUUGUUUCUACUUCUAUGUUUUAAUGUCAUAAGACUGUAUCUUGAUUUUUCCUUUUUUCCCCUUUUUUUUUCUUUUUACUGUUUUUUUUUUUCAGUUUGGUCUUGCAAAAAAAUUAAAACUCAAUAAAGUGUACUUUAAAUUGGUCUGACUGAAAUCACACCAAGUCACGUUUCCCAUAGUGGGCUAAGACUUACAUACCUGGAUAAUGCAGAUUUUCUCUUCCAUGUCUACAGCUCAGUGGGACUGAAACUGGCUCACGCUGCAGAGUUUGCUUGCUUGAUGUUGCCCCAGAAGAUGAAAUGUGUUGCUAGAGACGCCAGGUAGGAACCAAAACCUUAAAAGAAGAAGAAAAAAGGAUGUUAAAAACACCAUUCAAAUGAUUCAGAGCCUUAAAAGUAAUGUCGUAUUAUGAAACCUUAGCUCUUUGCCAAUGCACUUGUCAAAUAUUUGGCACAUGACGUGGUAGGUCAACUGGGAGACAGCGCAGUAGUAAUGAAUGAAUGAAAUAACUUGAGUCUUGAAUAGCACUUGCAAACUGGCACAAGGAAAGUGGUCAGGUGAACUCGCCUGUUCGCAACCUUUUCACUAAUCCCAUUAGUGUUUGGCAGUGGUAAAUAAGUCAUGUUCAGUUUGAUUUCUCUGGCGGUUUUCUCACUUUUCUCGCUUUACUUAAGAAUUCUGGGUUGUGAAAAAGUUCCAAAAAAUCAGGUUUCAGACCUGACUAGAAUGAUAAAGGUCAUCUAAAUUUAUCUUAAGUCUGUAAAGUGGGGGAACUCUCUUACAGGUCUUAUUUUUCUGGUAGCAACGCUGUCAGACGAUGAUAAGGCCUGUUUUGUGGUACAAAUGUAUAUCUAUGCUUCUGGUCACCUCUGGCCACAGCUGACACUCAUUUCAUCACAUUCAUUUACAUUUCAUCUGGCUAAUGUUACUGCUGACAUAACAAAUGUAUUAUCUAUUAACAAUUAAGUUCAAAUAAUCCAGGAAUUUAACUUACUCUGUGAUUAAAGACUUAAUUAGCCACAUUUUAAGUGCAAUAAAACCCUCAGAUAUGUGUGAAUGUGUUCACUUUGUAACUGGUGUGUCUUGGUCAUGUAGCAUCUGAUGGGCCUGGUUUAAUAAGGAACUAUUCAUCUCUAUACUUCACACCCCAAGAGAAUUUCUUAUCCACCAUAACCAUUCUGUAAAGUGACAUUACACAGACUCUGAAACACUUCUCCUUGGUUUGUAAGGCUCUAAUGUAACAUGCACCAUUAUCAAAGAAUUUCUACCUAACGACCCAACUAACCCGAACACUCCUCUCCUCAUUCCAAGCAGAUGAGAUGAGACCCUGCUGAGCCAAUGAGCUUCAACAAAACUGACUUGAUUGCCAGGGCUUCAGCGCCAAUGAUCCUAGAAUAACAAGGAGCAUAUUGUACUAUCAGCACCAAGCUGCAAAGCCAGCCAGGCCUGUUUCCAGGUUAACAGGCUCUCAGAUGCCUGAGCUCAAUGAUGGAGGUAAUGACAUCCUCAUGAUCCUGCAAUACAGGUAAAUGAGUGUCCAUACAGACAGAGGACUAAUACAAAGGGGAAGACGACUACUGAGCAGAACAGCUGGAUAUUUGAUUUAAAAUAAUCACAUUAUGACCAGAAUUAAUGGGGGCAGUCCAGUUUUAAAUUAUAGAAAAUGGUCAGAGUAUGGAUGCCCUAAGAAACAAAACAGUUAACAGAAAACAAAUGACAUUUAGUCAUGAAUAAUGAAAGAUAAACAACCUUAGCUGUGCUUAUUAUCAGGCUGAUAUACACUUUAUCCUGAUUGGCUACAACCCUACAACAACAGUGAUCUAGGCCCUGUUGAUACCUACCCAGUUAUUUUUAAAGUUAUUUGUAAACAGGGAAAAACAGAGGAAAACUGAGAUUUAAGGUAGCCAAUGGCAGAUUGUGUGCAGAAAAGAAGGAAGGCACGUUGUUUUUGAUGCUAUGCAGAAUUCUGAUUGGCUAAUGUGGGCUUGAGCGUCUCGCUACACUGCCACCUACAUGUUUGAUAUGAUCUUGAUAGCAUAUAUACAUGCUAUCAAACGAAAACUUUUCCGAAAACCUCGUGGUGUGCACGCAGAUUUUUUUGUAAACAGAGAAGGUUAAAUGUCAGUUUGUGAAAAUAGCCAGGCAAGUGUAAAUGUAGUCUAAAUUUCAACAGCAAGACCAAAGUCUGAAAAGUACACUCAUGUGAUUUCAAAUUAAUCCUCGAAAAGGAGUUCUGCAUUUUUCCCCAUUGCAUGGCAAAAAUCUCACCGUCUGUCAAAGGUUGGUCUGCUAUGACAGGACAUACUGAUAGUUAAUGGGCACAGGUGUUAAAGAAAGCAUCAACAGUUCUACCCUGCAAUUCAGGCAACAGUGUUUGCGACUCACUUAUGUUUAAAAGCGUGGCAAUUGCAAAACUCCGAGAUGGGGAUGAGGAUAAAACAUCAACUCAAAUAUUUGUGCAGAAGUCCUGUUCACCAUGUUGAAUAUUACCUCUGAGGGAAAUGUUUAGUUAGAGAUUAAUUAUAACAAAUUAGCUGUCUAAUGCUUCCUCUAAAAACAAAUAUAAGUUCUAAAUAUACUGGGAGGCUUUUGAAAGCUGUAUAACCAUGAAUUUUAUGAGUUACUUUGUUAAUGUCCACAUUUGAGAGCCCGGUCAUAAGCAUUUGGAUAUGGUAAGUAACUACGGAUUUAGGGGGUUUGAAGUGCUGGUUACACAAAAGGAAGAUUUUAACUUGUCUCCCACAGGAAUUUGAUAAGUAAACUUAGUGUCAUUUAAUAGACAGGGGAUUGUCACGUGGCAGAGUUGAACAGGGAAAGGAUCCAAAUGCAGACAAAAAAUAUAUACAUUAAAAUGGAACUAAAUGAAAAAACACCAAAAAUCUUUCUUCAAAAAAUUCCAAAAAGCAAAAUCCAACUACAGACACUGGCAAAAAACCACCAAGAGAGUAGGGAAUCAAAGAUCACAGGGAACAGGCAGACAUGCGCACAAAUCGACAUACAGUGAACCAACAAGGACAGAGGGGAAGACAGGGACGAUAACGAGCAACAGGUGAGGCUAACGUGACACAGGUGUAACUCGUUAACUGAUUAACGAAAGUCUGGAUCACAAGAACAAUUGGGAACAGAAACACUAGGGAAAAAAAACAAAGAAAAAAUACACUCAAAUAACAAAACGAAGGAAAAAUGAACAGGACAUAUUAGUGCUGGGCGAUAUGGAAAAAAAUGUGUAUCACGAUAUGGAUCAUUUUAUAUCACGAUAACGAUAUAUAUCACGAUAUAGUUAUGGUAUGCUUUCAGUUCUACGAAAAAUUUAAGUGUAUACAGCUGCACUAGUAUAGUGCCAGUACAAGACCAGCACUUAAAACUAGAAAAAUGAAUAAAUAAAUAAAUAUGUGACUGAAGUGUGUUCAUGUCUGUGCUCACCCAAAGUUAUGCAACACUCACAGAAAACGCCAAUAGUGUGAGCCAAAGCACUCCAUAAUAAUAAUAAUAAUAAUAAAUUUAAUUUGUAAUGCACUUUACAUUUACAAAAAAUCUUUAAGUGCUACAGUACACAGUAAAAAAAGAGCAGCAACGAUAAAAAAGCAAUAGAAUGACAGUCACAGAUUGGCAUAAAAAAAGCAUAAAAGAAUAAAAAAAAUAAAGAAUAUAGAGUUGCAGUGUAAGAGGCAAGGUAGUAAAAGCAUAGAGGAAAACUAACCAAAGGCUUUAUUAAAAAGGUAGGUCUUUAGGGCUCUUCUGAAGAGGUUGUUCACACUGCUAGAUAUUUCUCCUUCAAAGCUGCUCUCUGCCUCCAUCAUUGUUUACUUUACUCUUGAAGCACGUAGCAAGACCCGAGCAUGAAUCCGAGCGCUUUAUUCGCCUAUCAGGGGCAGACAGGUAAGGUGAUUUGAUUCGCCACGACUCCAGAAAUGAUUGAAAAACUACAGAAUGUCACAAAAUCACGUUUCCUCGCUGCUGGCUUCAAGGGUAGAAAUGCGCAGCCGCGCUCCCAGCUGACAGGAAGUCAAACCACUGUUGUAGUUCUUUUGUGUUGCUAGCGCGGUCAAGAGUGUUGGCUCUCACUGAGAGAUGACUACAAAAAUGGACGCACCUGUUCAUCUGGUUGUUAAACACGGCUGAAAAUGAUCAUCUUUUCAUGUUGUUCCCGCUCCUGCCCACUCCCGUUGCUUUGUUUUCCCGUCCCGUCCCGAUCAAGGAAUUAAUUAAAAAAUGACUCCCAUCCCGUGGGAUUCCCGCGGGAAUCACGUGACCCACGGGAAUUCCCGAAAAAUGUCAUCCUCUACAGGGAAGGUCCCGGAGCAGAUGAAACAGGUGCCGGAACGGCUGAAAUAGGUCCCGGAUCCGAUCAAAAGAGGUCCCGGAGCGCGCUCCGACUUGCUCCGGCACAAAUUAAGCACUGCUUAUGUGUGCUCCCCUCAUGUGUGUAACCCAGGUAACCCGCAACGGCGGGAGACGCUGGUCACGAAGAGGGCACGUAAAGCGGCGUCAUGUCGCAAAAUCGAAAGAGAAAUGCGAGCCUACAUGUCAACGCAUCCUUUUCUUUGUAAGAAAAUAUUGUUUUCUUUUCCGUUUGACACCAAAUACACUUACUGAAUGUGCAAUUAUUGUUGUUGUUACUAUGAAUCAUCUGAUGGCACAAGCCCUAUGGAUAAAAUACAGCCUAUCGCCCGAAACGAUAAAAAUAAAAAUGGCACGAUAGACAUUUUCUAUCAUGCCCACGAUAUCUAUCGUCCUAUCGCCCAGCACUAGGACAUAUCAUGACAGUAAUAAGUUGAUUUGUCUUAAAAACGAUAAAUCUAGUUUGUUGGGGUCCAGGCUGUUGUAAUUCAACAGCACCAAACAUUACAUCCUAAACCUGUGCAGGUGGGGUUUAAUGCAGUGCACAUGCAUGACACUGCACUAGAUUUCAGUUCCCUGUAAAUAGAGUCUGAGUCUAUAUAUGAAGGCUAGCUGACCUGAUAGUGUGAUACUACAAAAGAAAAGGCAGCAUUAUCAAGGCUUUACAUUUCUGCCUGUCUGCUACCACCGCUCAUAGGCCUCGUCCACGCCGCUAAGCGCUCUGGGAGUUCAGAUAAUGUUCUUGGCUGGCAGAAGACAGGUUGAUAGCUGUCAGGGACAGAAGCAGAAUAAAUGACAGGGUUUCAUUGGGGCGCCUCUAAGGAGCAUUAGGGACCUCGGGAUCCCAAUCCCCAAACAGGGGAUGAAGAAUCAUUUUGUCACAAAGGCACAGGGUCGCCCAUCACUGUCUAAUGCAUGCCGUGAUUAAUCGUAGGGAUGGAUCAACAUUAUGUCCUAUUCGGGGCGAUGCUUAAUUGCCUCCGCCAUCUAACUCAUCCAUUGCCCUAAUGGUUGUGCGUCUGCUUCUCAGACACAUGGUUAGUCUGGUGGACUGUGGCUAAGCAGGAAAGGACUCCCUUAGACAUCAUCACCAGCUUCAGACACCUUUACCCCCCCCCCUAGCUGGGAAUAUGUGGAUAAAUGGAGCCGGCUUCAUCGCCUGUAGCCCUGUGUUUAUAUUCUCAGCAGAAUGUCGGCGAGUGUUAAUGUAUGUAGAUUUCAUUUCUGAUGAGUGAUUAUUUGACUGCUCAUUUUGCCGGAGAUUUAUGGCACUCUCUCUAUCUCCUGACUGCAGUGCCACUCUUAUCUUUAAUAAAAGAGAUGAGGACAUUAAUCAGGUUUUGUUGGCGGCCCUUACUAAGACAUUAAAUGUAUUGUAUGGGGUAAGUAAACACGCUUCACAUCCCUCUCUCUCACAGCUGAAUGAGAGGGAGAGAGAGCGGAGGAGGGUGAGGGACAGAGUGAGGAGGAAGGAAAAAAAAACCCUCAUUAUAUUUAUCAUAAUUUCACAUCUGCUGUUUUUGAAGCAAUGUACCAUGAGCCCAUAAAGUGUAUUACAACUGUGCAUAAAUUCUACUGAUUUGUGGCUGGAGUAGCUAAUUCCUUGAGUACAUUUUAGAAAAACAAGCACUGAGCCCUGAAAUUGCAAUUCCAUAAAGGCUUUAAAUUACUGAGUACAGAAUCAAGAACUUGCCUGAUGUGCCGCGCAUGGCGAACGUGUUAUACGGGUACGCGGCGCUCCAAGAGAUAGAGACAAUAAAACCUGAGAUGGGUGAGCCAUAUACUCAAACAAAAUAAAGCAAUAGAAGAAAAUGUGAGAUGAGGGGGAGUGACAAUCACACCCCUGCAUCUCAUUUUACCCUUUUAACCAUAAGGAUGCAUUUGAGAGGACACGUUUCCUUUUUUCUCCCCCUCAUAAUAUCCCUCCCUCUCUCUCUCUGUCUUUGCUUCAUAUCUGUAGAAGAGUUAGUGGAUGGAUGCCAGCACUGCAUGCAAAGCCUCCUCAUUCAGAAGCAGUUAAAAUGAAAUGAAGCUCAUCAUUAGCACAAAGGGGAGGAUGUGUACUCCUUGACAAUACACUCACAAAAAUCAGGGCAACAAACACUCACACCUUCAACAUAAGCUCGCGCCCACACACACAAACAUAAAGCGGCUCAUGUGCAUCCCUUGUUUCCCCAGAACCACCACCGUAACCCGUUAAAAAGUGCACCCUUUACUUUCACUAACCUGCACUCCUUUGCUAUAGUUUUUAAGAGCCUAUCGUAAAAUAUCCUGAGCUGUAUUUUGUUAUCAUGCUAGCUUUGAGUGUCACAUCAUCAAGUUAGUAUCUUAUGUCAUUCUUUCCGGCACUUCCAUCCUCUCACCUCUGAAAACCCCACCGUUUUCUUCCCCACACUAUCUGGAGUCAUUUGGGAUCAGCGCGAACAAGAUUUUCAUAUCAGGUAAAUGAAUAUCUUUAUCACAGAGGCAGGAGCCGCGAUGCUCAGGGAGCUGGAGAGAAUAAUCACACAGAGCAAACAGUCUCAGGGAAACAGAGAGGCACUCAGUAAUAACAGCCUCUCUCAGUCUCCCACACUGCGCCCUGUGUACAUCUAAAUAGACUGCUUACCACUGCUGGAUGCUGCAGGAUGAAUAACCUUGCUGUGGCUUACUGCUGACCUUUGACAUUUAAUAAUAAUAAAAAAAAACUGAGACAAUGAUUUAGUGACAUGAUUUCCAACACAAUUUUGAUCAACAAAGAGGAAAUAUGUGAUUUUUUUUCUGGUAUUGAGACAUGAAAGUGGCAGUAGACUUUUUUACUUAUUUUGGUUGGAUCAGUGUGAGCUGCUGUGGUGCUCAGAAAAGUGCUCCAACAGUCAAGGUUUUCAUGUACUUUUGAGAAUAUCCCAACAUCUUUCUUUCCAUUGGUGAAGACAUUCGUGUUUGCCAGUGGAUAAAGCUUCAUCACUGACUAUUUCUGAUUUCACCCCCAUCACCAUAGCCUUUAUUGUGUUUUAACAAGGGUUAACCCAAUCCGAUAUUGACAUUAAGUAUCGGUCCGAUAACAGCAAAAAAACAAAAACAAAUAUCAGAUUAUAUCGGCCUGCACCUGAAAUUUCCAACAUCAGCACUUUGAUACAAGCAGUCCAUUCCAGACUCUGCUCCAGCACCUCUAUCUAUGAAAGAAAGGUUCCUACUGAGCAAUAGAUGACUAUUAGACGUCUAGUUUUUUAGGAAUUUAGAUGUUGCACUUUAACCCAUUAUUCGAUAACUAUUUAGCUCAAAAAGCAACCGUGAGUUACGUAACUGAUCUCCAAGUACUUAACCAAAAUAAUUAUGAUAGCUAUUGAGGAAUAUACAGUGUAGUAUAGAUAUAGCCCAGAUUUAGAUUUGGUCUAAGCUUGGUCUAAAUUUAGACGUCUAAAAAACUUUCAUUUUUAAACCUGUGGUAGUCUGAUUUUAGACCAGUCAUCUCGGCUACAUUUAGACGUCUAUUAGACCUCUUUUAGAACAAAAAAUGCUCAGUGGGUUGCAGCUGAGUGAAAAACUUGUCAUGCACAAGUUUGUGCCAAUAUAGAAUCAAUAUCUGUAUCGGCCAAUACUGAAGGAUAAAAUAUCAGUAUCGUACCGGAAGUGAAAAAAUUGUAUCAGAACACCCCCUUUUUUAACUUUAUCAUAAUUUCCUAAUUUUGUUAUGGAAGUUGUGUUCACACAUUAACAAAACAUUACCAUAAUUCUUCAAGAGUACUGUGCCAACAUUCAGCAGAUCUGCUUGUAUUUUUAAUGUGUUUUAUUUGUCAUUGCUUUGGUAAACCUUCAUUAGCAGUAAUAAGUAUUACACUGACACAUGUAGAAAAUGUCAAACUAGAGCCUUUCUCUUUGGUUACCCACCACAAAUUUUUAUCAUUAUUGUGUGAAUGUCAAUGUGAGUUACAGAGGUAAAUACGCUACAUGGAUCCAUAAGUAUUUUUGCCGUUUUCUAAAAAUUUCAUUCAUCUAUGUGGAAAAAAAUAAAAUUUUGCUCUUAUGUAGAAUCCCACACCAAGAGAGGCCAUCUUCUUUUUAUAACGCCUAAUACUGGUAAGUGUAAUCGCUAUAAAAUGUGUUCAUUAGAGCAAUACAGUUAAGAAAUAUUGAAAGUAUACCUUAAAGUGUCACUUUUAUAGUGAAUGAAGAGGAUAAUAUGAUCUAAAAAGGGUGUGAUUAUAUUCAAGCCUUGUCCUCCAGCAUUAUCACGGAGCUCAUAAAGAGAUGAAAUUUAAUAUGAUGCUUUCACUCACUUUAAUUGAAUUUUAAUUGCCACUUUGGACAGAGGGUUUAGAUCUAAUCAAUAAAAUAUUUAACUUUUGGGGCUCUGACGGGAAAUGGUCUCCUUGUUACCCCCUGUGCAAGCAUUCUGAGACUGACAUGAAUAAAAGCCAUGUUUAUGAGGUAGCAAAGCCAACACCUCAGUGUUUUUUUUUUUCCAUAUAGGGUUCCAGCAGGAUCCAGUGGAUAAAAAACACAAGGCGAACAAGCCGAGAUUCCAUUAAUUACACUGGUGUGGAAGAGCGGUCGGUCACCUUCAAAGGAAGGCCUUUAAUGUGCCAGAGCUAUAAAUAUUUUGAAAUGUCACACCUUGGGAAGACAGCGUCAGGCCAGAGCCGGGGUGAUAAAUCAGAGCCUGAGAAGAUCCAGGAAAGAAAAGAUGGCUCUUUGGUAUUUUAGAAAUAAUUACUGAUACAAAAGGGGUAAUGAAUGAAGCUAUAAAUUACGUUCAAACACACCAUUAGGAGAGGAUUAGUUUAUAAAACUCGUUCCUGCUCCUUAAAAUUACCCUCUCAGAAUAUUGCCCAUUUUACCCCGUCCAUAACUCAUGGAUAUAAAAAACAUGUAUGCAUAAUAUCACACUCUGUUGAUUGAUGCAAAAUUAAUUGAUUCUGUUCUGUUGCCUUUCAAUGAGAAUAUUAUUCCUGCUAAAACACAAAAUACGACACCAUCAGUCCAUCUCUUACUUACUAACAUCAUGCCAGUGUAUUAAGCUUCGUAGUCAAUUUUAUUGGUACUCCUAAAAUCUAAAGCCAAUCACUGCGUCUUUAACUUUUAUCCAAGUUUGAGCAAGUAAAGAGCAGCUUUGACCCGGACAGAGACUCACGGGCUUUGUCCCAUAUGUGAGCCAGUCAUCGUCCAGUACCAGCAUCACUGCUAUCACACACAGUUAUAAAUCUGAGAGAGCCUUGGUUAGGCUGCUGCACGGAUGGAAGGAAUUUAUCCUCAAUCCCUAUAGAGAGAGAGAGCCGGGGAGAGAAAAAUGACACGGCCCAUCCUCUAAGGCUCAUAAAAGUCUAAAUUAAAUAUCAAAUGGAACCACUGAUGGAUAGCGUCCCCUCCAUGGAUCCCCAGCGCCGCCUCUGCCUCCACUCUGUGACACGACAGGUGCUGCUCACAUGACUGGAGAGCCAGACAACUUUGUUAGUAGGAUUGUUCUCGGUUCAGUGUAAAAGCUGCUGUGCACAAAAUGAGGCAGAGAAGUAAGUGAACGCAACAAGGCGCCAUUAUUCCUCACCAUAGCCGGAUCCUCCCCUCCUUUCAAAGGGUUCUUAAAUAUUGUGCACAUCUGACUAAAUGUGGAUGUUACUUCAGUAGACUUAAGAGUGCAAUUUGUCACAGAUCUGAAUUACAGAAUAUAUGAUUUCCGUAUCCAUAUUUAUAAACUUAAGAUUCUCCCAUCCUCAGCAGAAGAACACAGUGAAAAGAUUGCUGUCAGAAGAGAACCCCGCACUGGAAAAAACUGUAAUACUAAUGCCAA
This is a non-coding RNA of Xyrichtys novacula (pearly razorfish), 11063 nucleotides long. The record is from the annotation of a GenBank genome assembly. NCBI's taxonomy places the organism in Eukaryota, Metazoa, Chordata, Actinopteri, Labriformes, Labridae.